CGGUUACACCUAUAAUGCAAUAAAAAAUGUUCGGUAGGCAAUUAAUAAUUAUUUUUGAAUUAAUUUUUAUUUUUAUUGAGUGAAAUUUUUAAAGUUGAAAUAAAUUUACAUAAAGUUUAUGAGGUUGGUAAGUUUAGGUUUUAAACUAGGAUUAGAUACCCUAUUAUUCUAAAUCAAAUUUUGUUCUCUUGGUUAGUAGUAGUUAUGAUCUUGAAAAUUAAAGAAGAUGGCGGUAUCUUAGUCUAUUCAGAGGAACCUGUCCUAUAAUUGAUGGUCCACGAUUUUUUUUACUUAUUUUCAUAGUUUGCAUAUCGCCGUAGGUUGAAUAUUUUUACAAAAAUGAAAUGUUCAAUAGGUUUUUUAAGAAAAGAAUUCAGGUCAAGGUGUAGCCUAUAGAUAAGAAGAGAUGGGUUACAAUAAAUUUAUUUAUGCGGAUUAAUAAAUGAAAUUUUGUUAUAAAGAUGGAUUUGAGAGUAAUUUUAUUUAUAUUUAUAAAAUGAUUUAAGCUCUAGGAUAUGUACAUAUCGCCCGUCGC
This 535-nucleotide ribosomal RNA is filed under the name Exophthalmus hybridus. RNAcentral's name for it is "partial 12S ribosomal RNA". The record is from RNAcentral. Lineage: Eukaryota; Metazoa; Arthropoda; Insecta; Coleoptera; Curculionidae.